This 216-nucleotide long non-coding RNA is filed under the name Carica papaya (papaya). RNAcentral describes it as "long non-coding RNA (CPAP_LNC012377)". The record is from RNAcentral. Lineage: Eukaryota; Viridiplantae; Streptophyta; Magnoliopsida; Brassicales; Caricaceae.
ACGUCGUUUCUCAUAACAAAAAGCCGAUGUCGUUUUAUUAAUCCAUGCAUGCAACAUCAUUUUAAUCAGCCACCUAUAUCAUUUGCUUUACCUACGAACAUAAUGUCGUUUCGUUAAAGAAUUUAAAUGACAUCAUUUACUUUACGUAUAAAUACGAUGUCGUUUUAAUUGAUCAUAUAAACGAGAUUGUUUUGAUAACAACUUUAAAAGACUGUC